Molecule: long non-coding RNA, 1379 nt
Organism: Balaenoptera acutorostrata (minke whale)
Lineage: Eukaryota; Metazoa; Chordata; Mammalia; Artiodactyla; Balaenopteridae
Exons: 5
Source: RefSeq, a predicted model, not a curated record
UGUUCCAGCCUCUUCCUCUUAUGCAGACCCUGGGAAGCCCAAAACUACAUUUUCUAGACUUCCUCACAGCUUGGGUUCUGGAUAUGAAUUGCAUGCCAUCUAUUCGAUGCAUUCUUGCAAGAUUUGGAGGAUGAAAAUGAAACAGAAGCUAUCCUCCUACCCAUUUUUGGUGAUUUUCUUGAAAGCAAGCUCACAGCAGCAGCAAUGUUCUAGAGUCCAUCCUUGAGAUUCUUCGGUAUCUAGGGUCCACGUCCCAGUGCCAAGUCACCAGUUCCGUGAAUAUCAAGAUACAGUCGAGUGGUGGCAGUGAUGGUAACAGCAGCAGUAUCAGCAACUUCCUGGUCUGGCUUCCUGAUCCGUGGAGUGGUCUCAGGUGAUGUGGUCCUACAUAUGGAAGGUGGGCUUCACCUAUGGGAAAGAAGCAGGAGACACAUUCAUUGAGCACUGUGGCAGUGUCACACUGGCCAAGCCCUUGAUGUUCCAGCUGUCACAGUGAGACACCAGACUUGUGGGAAAACCUGUCUUGAAUUCCCAGCCGCAGGCAAAGAACUGUCCUGCUAAGUCCAGCGAACCCAAAUUGCACAACUGUCUUGAGAUCAUCCUGCAUGGACCCCAUUGCUGGUGAGGGCUUUUCUCCUCCUGAAAUCCUUUUAAGCCUGGGGAAAAGAGAGUAAGGAGAAAGUGGAAUGCGAAAGCAGCAAUCAGCUGGAAAUUCUGUCAGGAGAUGGAGUAGGUGAGAAGCCAGAGACUGGAUGGUGAAGUCACCCAGAGAUGAGCAUCGUCAGCAAGACUGGAGGGACAAAGGGAGGAGACUCGCUACAGGAAACUGGAUCCACAGUGGAAUGAGGCAGCUCCUGCCAGAGGUACCGCAGAGGCAGAGAGAAAUACUUAGAAUUCUCCCUUCCCAUCCCUGGCCCCAUCUCCUGCUAGUGUCAUCCAGUGGCUGAACCCAGCCAGAGUCAGUACCACGGGGACCUGCAGGCAUCCGGAGCCCCCCGGAGAGAUGGACAGGGGCAGGACCAGAGAGCACGAGAGGGCAAGAGGGCUCAGUGUCCGCACACCAAUGACAAAGGCCAGCCACUGGGGAUAGAACAGGGUUUGGCUCUGUUUUGUUUUGUUUUCAUCUUCCUAAACGUUCUCCUUAAAUCUCUAGACCCAAAGCCUGGAGGGCUAAGUUUAGAGUCUAUAACAUAAACCACAGGGUGUAGAACAUGAGGUCAUGGCAAUUUCCUGUCACACAAAAAGGCAAUAAAAACCCUUCCUGGCUUGGGAGAAGGAGCUUGGAGGAAAUGCUGAGGAACACAGGAUUCUCAAGCUCCGUGAACGGGGACAGGCGGGGAAAAGGAGCCUCAGCUUGAAAUUCCUAGAGCAGGGGGUGC